GACGGAGGGGGCUAGCGUUGUUCGGAAUUACUGGGCGUAAAGAGUGCGUAGGCGGUUUAGUAAGUUGGAAGUGAAAGCCCGAGGCUUAACCUCGGAAUUGCUUUCAAAACUACUAAUCUAGAGUGUAGUAGGGGAUGAUGGAAUUCCUAGUGUAGAGGUGAAAUUCUUAGAUAUUAGGAGGAACACCGGUGGCGAAGGCGGUCAUCUGGGCUACAACUGACGCUGAUGCACGAAAGCGUGGGGAGCACACAGG
RNAcentral lists this ribosomal RNA (253 nucleotides) under uncultured prokaryote. Its description in RNAcentral is "partial 16S ribosomal RNA". It matches the Rfam family "Bacterial small subunit ribosomal RNA", at positions 524 to 776 of the family's 1533-position model. The record is from RNAcentral.